GUCGAGAAUCUUUCACAAUGGGGGCAACCCUGAUGGAGCGACGCCGCGUGGAGGAUAAGGUCUUCGGAUUGUAAACUCCUGUCAUGCGUGAACAAGGUUGCUUGGUUAAUACCUGGGCAAAUUGAUGGUAACGCAAGAGGAAGAGACGGCUAACUCUGUGCCAGCAGCCGCGGUAAUACAGAGGUCUCAAGCGUUGUUCGGAAUCACUGGGCGUAAAGGGUGCGUAGGUGGCGUGGUAAGUCAGAUGUGAAAGCCCGGGGCUCAACCUCGGAACUGCAUCCGAUACUGCCAUGCUAGAGUACUGGAGAGGUGACUAGAAUUCUCGGUGUAGCAGUGAAAUGCGUAGAUAUCGAUAGGAAUACCAAAGGCGUAGGCAGGUCACUGGACAGUUACUGACACUGAGGCACGAAGGCCAGGGGAGCGAACGGGAUUAGAAACCCCGGUAGUCC
This 449-nucleotide ribosomal RNA is filed under the name uncultured bacterium. RNAcentral's name for it is "partial 16S ribosomal RNA". It matches the Rfam family "Bacterial small subunit ribosomal RNA", at positions 354 to 796 of the family's 1533-position model. The record is from RNAcentral.